GGAGAUGGUUUUUGGUUCAGUGGCAGAGCGAAUGCUCUGUAUGCAAAAGGUCCUAGGAUCAAUCCCUGACAUUUCCA
Podarcis lilfordi (Lilford's wall lizard) is the source of this 77-nucleotide non-coding RNA. Lineage: Eukaryota; Metazoa; Chordata; Lepidosauria; Squamata; Lacertidae. The record is from the annotation of a GenBank genome assembly.